This 290-nucleotide small nuclear RNA is filed under the name Prolemur simus (greater bamboo lemur). Its description in RNAcentral is "7SK RNA (ENSPSMG00000013230.1)". It matches the Rfam family "7SK RNA". Rfam says of the family: 7SK was discovered as an abundant small nuclear RNA in the mid-70s but a possible function has only recently been suggested. Two independent studies have found that 7SK RNA binds the CDK9/cyclin T complex (known as elongation factor P-TEFb). The record is from Rfam by way of RNAcentral. Lineage: Eukaryota; Metazoa; Chordata; Mammalia; Primates; Lemuridae.
GGAUGCGAGGGCAAUCUGGCUGUGACAUGUCACCCCAUUGAUCGCCAGGGUUGAUUCUGCUGAUCUGGCUGGCUAGGCGGGUGUCCCCUGCCUCCCUCACUGCUCCAUGUGCGUCCCUCCUGAAACUGCGUGCUCGGCCAAAGAGGACGACCUUGCCCGAUAGAGAAGGACUGCUCUUCAGUCAAGGGUAUACGAGUAGCUGUGCUCCCCUGCUAGAACCUCCAAACAAGCUCUCAAAAGAGUCCCAGAAGUUGACCAUUUCUCACCACCUUCAAGUCCCAUUAUUUCUU